RNAcentral lists this transfer RNA (75 nucleotides) under Alphaproteobacteria bacterium. Its description in RNAcentral is "tRNA-Thr". It matches the Rfam family "tRNA". Rfam says of the family: Transfer RNA (tRNA) molecules are approximately 80 nucleotides in length. Their secondary structure includes four short double-helical elements and three loops (D, anti-codon, and T loops). Lineage: Bacteria; Pseudomonadati; Pseudomonadota; Alphaproteobacteria. The record is from RNAcentral.
GCUGCUGUAGCUCAGUGGUAGAGCGCGUCAUUGGUAAUGACGAGGUCGGGAGUUCGAUUCUCCUCAGCAGCACCA